UCGAUGGCUUCAGUGUUUGAGAAAACUAAAAAGACCAGAUGUAGAGUUUUCUUAGAAGUGGUGACUACUUCAACACACCAUUUUCUAAACCGGAACGUAUACCAUUUGCUGAUCGACGACAAGUAAAAUGUUUUAAAUGUGGUAAGUCGGGACACGUGGCACCACAAUGACAAAAUUUUCAAUUGGCCAGCCAAAGAAACCUACCAACCACACGAAUAAACCAGAUCAGAACAGAUGAGAACGAGGAUCAACAGCAACAGAGAGAAAUGACAACGAAAGACCAAGAAUAUCAGGGGUUAACACAACAACUAGACGGCUACUAACUAAUACCAUUUGGAGGAAUUGCAAGAGAACGAAUUCAUUUAAUUGAUACCGGAGCAGGGAUAAAUUUAAUCAAAGAAAAUAAAUCGGACACUAAGAUAUUCAAAUCAGACGAACCUUAAACUUUUUAUAUGGGACAAGACAAAUAUUUCACUGAUAGAUUUGUUAGAAUCAUUAUUUUAGAAACCUAAAGUUGUUCAACCAGGAGAAAGGAGAGUUCAAACUAUCUACCUCGAAGGCAAACCGACGCGAGUAUGCUUCUUCAAUUCUAAUGAGACAAAUCAAGUAAUCUCUAACGAAAUUGAUAAUAGUAAAGACCUAGAACAAAUUGCUAAAUUGAAAACCAUUGUGAGAACAGAUCAUAUAGAACCCGAACUUUGUAUACCGAUUGAAAGGAUUUUGAUUCAUUAUAUCGAUGUGUUCAAUUUAUAGACUGAUCUUUUACCUCGUACAAAUUUGACACAAUACACGAUAACUUUGAAACAAGACAAAAUCAUAAAUACUAAAUCGUGUAGAUCCCCGGAAUGCCAUAAAGCUGAAAUCGAGAAACAAAUGAAAGAAAUGCCAAGUACAAAUAUUAUGGAAGAAUCAGAUUCGCCUUACAAUUCACCCGUUUGGGUAGUACCUAAGAAGUCAGAAAUGGAGAAUUGUGAUAGAUUUCGGAAGACUAAACGAACUAACUGAUCAAGACGCAUAUCGUUUACCAGAUAUCAAAGAUAUUCUUAGUCAGUUAGGAAACGCGAAAUUCUUCUAAGUGCUAGGUCUGUCAUCAGGAUUCCACCGAAUUCCUGAAUCCCAACUCAAAGAAAUACACUGCAUUCUCCACAAAAACAAAGCCACUUCCAUCAUAAUCGCAUGCCAUUUGGACUGAAAAAUACACCCGCAACUUUUCAACGAAUGAUGGACACAGCAUUAGGAGGAUUCGUCAAUGUUAAUUGUUUCGUAUAUUUAGACGACAUUAUAAUUUUCGGAGAUACAAUUCAAAAACAUAAUCAAAAUUUAGCAAAGACUUAGAGAAUUGGGACUCAAGAUACAGCCUGAUAAAUGCGAAUUCCUCAAACCAGAGCUUGAAUAUUUAGGACAUUUAGUAGCAGUCGAAGGAGUUAAACCGAACCCGAAGAAAAUCAAGCCCGUGAAAGAUUUUAGGGCGCCUAGGAACCCAACCGUGGCCAAAUCAUUUUUAGGACUGACCAAUUAUUAUAGAAAAUUUAUACGUAACUUUUCCAAGAUAGCCAAACCAUUGACCGACUUAAUUAAGGAAGAUAUUAGCUUUCACUGGAC
Bombus impatiens (common eastern bumble bee) is the source of this 1602-nucleotide long non-coding RNA. RefSeq lists it as uncharacterized. The transcript has 2 exons. The record is from RefSeq and is a predicted model, not a curated record. Lineage: Eukaryota; Metazoa; Arthropoda; Insecta; Hymenoptera; Apidae.